UACACUCCUACGGGAGGCAGCAGUGGGGAAUUUUGGACAAUGGGCGAAAGCCUGAUCCAGCAAUGCCGCGUGAGUGAAGAAGGCCUUCGGGUUGUAAAGCUCUUUUGUCAGGGAAGAAACGGUGAGAGCUAAUAUCUCUUGCUAAUGACGGUACCUGAAGAAUAAGCACCGGCUAACUACGUGCCAGCAGCCGCGGUAAUACGUAGGGUGCAAGCGUUAAUCGGAAUUACUGGGCGUAAAGCGUGCGCAGGCGGUUUUGUAAGUCUGAUGUGAAAUCCCCGGGCUCAACCUGGGAAUUGCAUUGGAGACUGCAAGGCUAGAAUCUGGCAGAGGGGGGUAGAAUUCCACGUGUAGCAGUGAAAUGCGUAGAUAUGUGGAGGAACACCGAUGGCGAAGGCAGCCCCCUGGGUCAAGAUUGACGCUCAUGCACGAAAGCGUGGGGAGCAAACAGGAUUAGAAACCCCAGUAGUCCCAUGAU
Molecule: ribosomal RNA, 478 nt
Filed under: uncultured organism
Description: partial 16S ribosomal RNA
Rfam family: Bacterial small subunit ribosomal RNA
Source: RNAcentral